RNAcentral lists this ribosomal RNA (301 nucleotides) under uncultured bacterium. RNAcentral describes it as "partial 16S ribosomal RNA". It matches the Rfam family "Bacterial small subunit ribosomal RNA", at positions 509 to 807 of the family's 1533-position model. The record is from RNAcentral.
CAGUCGCCACGGUAAAACGGAGGGUGCAAGCGUUAAUCGGAAUUACUGGGCGUAAAGCGCACGCAGGCGGUCUGUCAAGUCGGAUGUGAAAUCCCUGAGCUUAACUUAGGAAUUGCAUUCGAUACUGGGAAGCUAGAGUAUGGGAGAGGAUGGUAGAAUUCCAGGUGUAGCGGUGAAAUGCGUAGAGAUCUGGAGGAAUACCGAUGGCGAAGGCAGCCAUCUGGCCUAAUACUGACGCUGAGGUACGAAAGCAUGGGGAGCAAACAGGAUUAGAUACCCGAGUAGUCCCUGUCUCUUAUAC